GAAGAUAUAGCUCAGUAGGUAGAGCGGUAAGCUGUUAACUUAUUAGUCGGAGGUUCAAGUCCUCCUAUCUUCGCCA
RNAcentral lists this transfer RNA (76 nucleotides) under Clostridium botulinum. Its description in RNAcentral is "tRNA-Asn". It matches the Rfam family "tRNA". From Rfam's summary of the family: Transfer RNA (tRNA) molecules are approximately 80 nucleotides in length. The record is from RNAcentral. Lineage: Bacteria; Bacillati; Bacillota; Clostridia; Eubacteriales; Clostridiaceae.